Molecule: non-coding RNA, 75 nt
Organism: Myotis lucifugus (little brown bat)
Lineage: Eukaryota; Metazoa; Chordata; Mammalia; Chiroptera; Vespertilionidae
Source: Rfam
AGUGGUUCUCUGGUGACACACCCCGGAAUCAGGCUCCCUCCUUUCUGGUUCUGGGUGCAUCACCCGAAAAGCACA